This 73-nucleotide transfer RNA is filed under the name Coleofasciculus sp. LEGE 07081. RNAcentral's name for it is "tRNA-Glu". It matches the Rfam family "tRNA". From Rfam's summary of the family: Transfer RNA (tRNA) molecules are approximately 80 nucleotides in length. Their secondary structure includes four short double-helical elements and three loops (D, anti-codon, and T loops). The record is from RNAcentral. Lineage: Bacteria; Bacillati; Cyanobacteriota; Cyanophyceae; Coleofasciculales; Coleofasciculaceae. RNAcentral also lists the same sequence under 1 other name.
AGCCUCAUCGUCUAGUGGUUAGGACGCUGCCCCCUCAAGGCGGAAACGAGGGGUUCAAAUCCCCCUGGGGCUA